RNAcentral lists this ribosomal RNA (1311 nucleotides) under metagenome. RNAcentral describes it as "bacterial SSU rRNA". It matches the Rfam family "Bacterial small subunit ribosomal RNA", at positions 93 to 1400 of the family's 1533-position model. The record is from RNAcentral.
GAGUGGCGAACGGGUGAGUAAUAUAUCGGAACGUACCAUUCAGUGGGGGAUAACGUAGCGAAAGUUACGCUAAUACCGCAUAUUCUGUGAGCAGGAAAGCAGGGGAUCGCAAGACCUUGCGCUGAUUGAGCGGCCGAUAUCAGAUUAGCUUGUUGGUGAGGUAAAAGCUCACCAAGGCGACGAUCUGUAGCGGGUCUGAGAGGAUGAUCCGCCACACUGGAACUGAGACACGGUCCAGACUCCUACGGGAGGCAGCAGUGGGGAAUUUUGGACAAUGGGGGCAACCCUGAUCCAGCCAUGCCGCGUGAGUGAAGAAGGCCUUCGGGUUGUAAAGCUCUUUCAGCCGGGAAGAAAACGCAUGGGUUAAUACCCUGUGUGGAUGACGGUACCGGAAUAAGAAGCACCGGCUAACUACGUGCCAGCAGCCGCGGUAAUACGUAGGGUGCGAGCGUUAAUCGGAAUUACUGGGCGUAAAGCGUGCGCAGGCGGUUUUGUAAGACAGGCGUGAAAUCCCCGGGCUUAACCUGGGAACUGCGUUUGUGACUGCAAGGCUAGAGUACGGCAGAGGGGGGUGGAAUUCCACGUGUAGCAGUGAAAUGCGUAGAGAUGUGGAGGAACACCAAUGGCGAAGGCAGCCCCCUGGGUCGAUACUGACGCUCAUGCACGAAAGCGUGGGUAGCAAACAGGAUUAGAUACCCUGGUAGUCCACGCCCUAAACGAUGUCAACUAGGUGUUGGGAGGGUAAAACCUUUUAGUACCGGAGCUAACGCGUGAAGUUGACCGCCUGGGGAGUACGGCCGCAAGGUUAAAACUCAAAGGAAUUGACGGGGACCCGCACAAGCGGUGGAUGAUGUGGAUUAAUUCGAUGCAACGCGAAAACCUUACCUACCCUUGACAUGCCAAGAACUUUCCAGAGAUGGAUUGGUGCCCGAAAGGGAACUUGGACACAGGUGCUUCAUGGCUGUCGUCAGCUCGUGUCGUGAGAUGUUGGGUUAAGUCCCGCAACGAGCGCAACCCUUGUCGUUAAUUGCCAUCAUUUAGUUGGGCACUUUAACGAGACUGCCGGUGACAAACCGGAGGAAGGUGGGGAUGACGUCAAGUCCUCAUGGCCCUUAUGGGUAGGGCUUCACACGUCAUACAAUGGUCGGUACAAAGGGUCGCCAAGCCGCGAGGUGGAGCCAAUCCCAGAAAGCCGAUCGUAGUCCGGAUCGCAGUCUGCAACUCGACUGCGUGAAGUCGGAAUCGCUAGUAAUCGUGGAUCAGAAUGUCACGGUGAAUACGUUCCCGGGUCUUGUACACACCGCCCGUCAC